RNAcentral lists this ribosomal RNA (751 nucleotides) under uncultured Glomeromycotina. RNAcentral describes it as "SSU rRNA". It matches the Rfam family "Eukaryotic small subunit ribosomal RNA", at positions 338 to 1092 of the family's 1831-position model. Lineage: Eukaryota; Fungi; Glomeromycota. The record is from RNAcentral.
GGCCUACCAUGGUGGUAACGGGUAACGGGGUGUUAGGGCACGACACCGGAGAGGGAGCCUGAGAAACGGCUACCACAUCCAAGGAAGGCAGCAGGCGCGCGAAUUACCCAAUCCCGACACGGGGAGGUAGUGACAAUAAGUAACAAUACAGGGUCCUUUCGGGUCUUGUAAUUGGAAUGAGUACAAUUUAAAUCUCUUAACGAGGAACAAUUGGAGGGCAAGUCUGGUGCCAGCAGCCGCGGUAAUUCCAGCUCCAAUAGCGUAUAUUAAAGUUGUUGCAGUUAAAAAGCUCGUAGUUGAAUUUCGGGAUCAAUACGUCGGUCGUGCCUCGGUACGUACUAACGUCAUUGAUCUCUCCCUUCUGACGAGCCGUGAUGUCAUCCAUUUGGUGUUACGGGGAGUCAGGACUGUUACUUUGAAAAAAUUAGAGUGUUUAAAGCAGGCAAUCGCUCGAAUACAUUAGCAUGGAAUAAUGAAAUAGGACGUUCGAACCUAUUUUGUUGGUUUCUAGGAUCGACGUAAUGAUUAAUAGGGAUAGUUGGGGGCAUUAGUAUUCAAUUGUCAGAGGUGAAAUUCUUGGAUUUAUUGAAGACUAACUACUGCGAAAGCAUUUGCCAAGGAUGUUUUCAUUAAUCAAGAACGAAAGUUAGGGGAUCGAAGACGAUCAGAUACCGUCGUAGUCUUAACCAUAAACUAUGCCGACUAGGGAUCGGAUGAUGUUAAUUUUUUAAUGACUCAUCGGCGCCUUACG